Molecule: long non-coding RNA, 204 nt
Filed under: Hordeum vulgare
Lineage: Eukaryota; Viridiplantae; Streptophyta; Magnoliopsida; Poales; Poaceae
Description: long non-coding RNA (HVUL_LNC005570)
Source: RNAcentral
UUCUCUUGCCAUGUUUACAGAAGAUUCAGGUCUAGUGUCGCUGACAGACUCGUUCUCUGGAAAUGUAUCAUUCCAGGACAAAUGAAGCUCCUCUAAGUGUUCUUUGUUUCUUAGUCCUGCCUCAUAAGCCUCCUCCCAGGUUUUAACACUGCCAAGUUGAGACACUCCAAGUUGAACAAGCUCGUUCAUGGAUUUGAGUUGUGU